GCACUGCUGAGGAGUCCCACAGUAGGACGAAACGAUUGUUCAGUGC
Non-coding RNA from Schistosoma haematobium, 46 nucleotides. The record is from Rfam. NCBI's taxonomy places the organism in Eukaryota, Metazoa, Platyhelminthes, Trematoda, Strigeidida, Schistosomatidae.